GACGAACGCUGGCGGCGUGCUUAACACAUGCAAGUCGAACGGAGUAUUCAGCAAUGGAUACUUAGUGGCGAACGGGUGAGUAACGCGUAGGCAAUCUGCCUUCUAGAUGGGGACAACACCGCGAAAGUGGUGCUAAUACCGAAUGUGAUAUAGAGAAUGCAUAUUCUAUAUAAGAAAGAUGGCCUCUAUUUAUAAGCUACCGCUAGCAGAUGAGCACGCGUCUGAUUAGCUAGUUGGUGAGGUAAUAGCUCACCAAGGCGACGAUCAGUAGCCGGUCUGAGAGGAUGAACGGCCACACUGGGACUGGGACACGGCCCAGACUCCUACGGGAGGCAGCAGUGGGGAAUCUUCCGCAAUGGACGAAAGUCUGACGGAGCAACGCCGCGUGAGUGAAGAAGGUUUUCGGAUUGUAAAGCUCUGUCUUCAGGGGCGAACGUAAGGUAGGUAAAUAAUCUACUGUAAUGACGGUACCUGAGGAGGAAGCCACGGCUAACUACGUGCCAGCAGCCGCCGUAA
Molecule: ribosomal RNA, 516 nt
Filed under: uncultured bacterium
Lineage: Bacteria
Description: partial 16S ribosomal RNA
Rfam family: Bacterial small subunit ribosomal RNA
Source: RNAcentral